Molecule: non-coding RNA, 618 nt
Organism: Elephantulus edwardii (Cape elephant shrew)
Lineage: Eukaryota; Metazoa; Chordata; Mammalia; Macroscelidea; Macroscelididae
Source: the annotation of a RefSeq genome assembly
AUGGCCUGGGAUUCUCUCCUUCUCACCCUCCUUAUUCACUGCUCAGGGUCUUUGGCUCAGUCUGUCCUCACUCAGCCAUCUGCAGUGUCCAAGUCUGUUGGGGAGACAGUCACAAUCUCCUGCACUGGAAGCAGCACUAAUGUUGGACGUGGAUAUCCAGACUGGUUACAGCAGCUCUCUGGUAGUGUUCCAAGAACACUUAUCUAUGAUGCUGAUAAGAGACCAUCCGGGAUCCCAGAACGAUUCUCAGGCUCCAGGUCAGGGAACACAGCCUACCUGAGCAUCUCUGGGCUCCAGUCUGAGGACGAGGCUUAUUAUUACUGUGCAGCCUGGGACAACAACAUUAAUGCUCACACAGUGCUGCAGGCCAGUGGGGAAGUGAGACAAAAACAUUCUGCACACAACAGUGGGUCUUCUCUGUGCAUCCUCAGUCAGGACACCUGUUCCCCCUUGUUUGACUUAAAGCAAACAUUCAAGAUAUUCUCAAGAAAUAUAUUUCUUUUACCAUAUUCCACCUGCAAAUCAUAUCCUUUUCAACAACAUGUGGUCUGGUAUUUUGAAAUGGAAAGAGAAUCCUGUAACCUAGGAUUUGACUUCUCAAGGAAAUCUACAACAUAA